Molecule: non-coding RNA, 208 nt
Organism: Oryza brachyantha (malo sina)
Lineage: Eukaryota; Viridiplantae; Streptophyta; Magnoliopsida; Poales; Poaceae
Source: Rfam
AAUAAGAUCAUUUUUCGUUUUUCCGUGUCUAAAGUUUGAACAUUCGUCUUAUUUGAAAAAAAAUUACGAUUAAUAUUUUUUUCUGGCUAGAUAAUAAAACAUGAAUAAUACUUUGUGCGUGACUAAUUUUUUUAAGUUUUUAUACAAAAUUUUUAGAUAAGACGAAUGGUCAAACGUUGGACAUGGAAAAACAAAAAAUGAUCUUAUU